CAAAAAGUAGUUUAUUUUUAAAAUACCAGUUUUGGAGAUUGGAGAUCUGUUGUAGUUUUUUGA
RNAcentral lists this transfer RNA (63 nucleotides) under Haematopinus tuberculatus. RNAcentral describes it as "tRNA-Pro". The record is from RNAcentral. Lineage: Eukaryota; Metazoa; Arthropoda; Insecta; Psocodea; Haematopinidae.